Molecule: signal recognition particle RNA, 93 nt
Filed under: Alphaproteobacteria bacterium
Lineage: Bacteria; Pseudomonadati; Pseudomonadota; Alphaproteobacteria
Description: signal recognition particle sRNA small type
Rfam family: Bacterial small signal recognition particle RNA
About the family: The signal recognition particle (SRP) is a universally conserved ribonucleoprotein involved in the co-translational targeting of proteins to membranes.
Source: RNAcentral
ACCAAGGACGGAUGCAGCGCAUUGUAAACCCCGCCAGGCCCGAAAGGGAGCAACGGUAGCAAAAGCGAGUAGGUCGUCCUUGGCUUUUUUUAG